GGAUGAAUGGCUGAGUGGUUAAAAGCAUCAAUUUUGAAAAUUGAUAUAAUUUUUAUCGUGGGUUCGAAUCCUACUUCAUCCG
Molecule: transfer RNA, 82 nt
Filed under: Gelidiella fanii
Lineage: Eukaryota; Rhodophyta; Florideophyceae; Gelidiales; Gelidiellaceae
Description: tRNA-Ser
Rfam family: tRNA
About the family: Transfer RNA (tRNA) molecules are approximately 80 nucleotides in length.
Source: RNAcentral